This 507-nucleotide ribosomal RNA is filed under the name uncultured bacterium. Its description in RNAcentral is "bacterial SSU rRNA". It matches the Rfam family "Bacterial small subunit ribosomal RNA", at positions 8 to 518 of the family's 1533-position model. The record is from RNAcentral.
AGAGUUGAUCCUGGCUCAGGAUGAACGCUGGCGGCGUGCCUAACACAUGCAAGUCGAACGGAAAUGUCUGAUGAAGUCUUCGGAUAGAUUCAUUACAUUUAGUGGCGGACGGGUGAGUAACACGUGGGUAACCUGCCCUGUACCGGGGGAUAACACUUAGAAAUAGGUGAUAAUACCGCAUAAGCGCACACUGAGGCAUCUCAGAGUGUGAAAAACUCCGGUGGUACAGGAUGGACCCGCGUCUGAUUAGCUUGUUGGCGGGGUAACGGCCCACCAAGGCGACGAUCAGUAGCCGGCCUGAGAGGGUGAACGGCCACAUUGGGACUGAGACACGGCCCAGACUCCUACGGGAGGCAGCAGUGGGGGAUAUUGCACAAUGGGGGAAACCCUGAUGCAGCCGACGCCGCGUGAGUGAUGAAGUAUUUCGGUAUGUAAAGCUCUAUCAGCAGGGAAGAUAAUGACGGUACCUGACUAAGAAGCCCCGGCUAACUACGUGCCAGCAGCGGC